RNAcentral lists this long non-coding RNA (1660 nucleotides) under Carica papaya (papaya). RNAcentral's name for it is "long non-coding RNA (CPAP_LNC014092)". The record is from RNAcentral. Lineage: Eukaryota; Viridiplantae; Streptophyta; Magnoliopsida; Brassicales; Caricaceae.
AUGCGGAAAAAUCUCCAAAUGUCAAAUUAAAUGGAAGUGAUGCUGAUAUUUUUAAUACAGCAAUAGUAUUAAAAGUUUUCCCUCCAUUGCGUACAUACCUAUCAUCCAAUACCGAAAUACAACACACAUUCUCUAACUCUUAUCCUUAUAUAAUUCAAGUUAGUAUCACAAGUACUUUCUCGUGACCAACUGAAAAUUUGAAGCAGCAAUCAUCAAUGAAAAUUUUGGAUUCUCUUCUCUUAAGCUUUUCCCUCUUCCUAUUAUCUUCUCUCUAUUAUCUUUGUCUUACUCUUUAUAUUCUUCAUCUUUCAUCCUUUUUCUUCUCUCGUUUUGUUCAUCUAAUGUUUCAUAAAUCAGGAUUCAGAACCUGAUAAAUACCUUAAAAGAUACAAUUGAUAUUGGGAGCCAAAAAUUCCUCGCUGCACCUUUUAACAUCUGAAAGGUGUUUAGUAUAUAACAUAUUUUAAAAUUUCAAAUAUCAACAAAUUAAUUAUAAAAGAAACUAGCCCAUUAACCAGUUUCCAACUCAAUUGCCCAGAGUUAGUGGCCAAUUCAAAGGCCACCAAAGUCUAGAUAUUUGUGUCGAAAACAAAACAUUGUUGGACUCCCUUUAACAAAUAUAAGAGAAUGCUGUUUAGUCUUCUAGCCCAGUGAUUUAAAAGGAAAAUUAAAAAAUGAAAACGAAGAAGUAAAGAAUACUGUUUUGUUAGACCAGUGAUUUGAAGAGAAAAUGUACCUAGCAACAGCUGCCACAUGUCAUUCAGCUGGCAAUAGCAUUCCACUUUCAAAUACCUAUGCCUCAUCUAUAACCCUCAUAAAACUACGUAAAUUUGCAAAAUAAUGAGGAAAACGAGUAAUUACAGUCUUCUCCUUAAUUUUUUUUUUCCUUAAGUGGCCAAGCCACUUUCCAAAUAAGGGUAUUGAGCCUAUGAGCAGAGGCUCACUUACCGAAAUGGUAGGAAGCAGGCAACCAUUCACUUAAAUAGAUAUGAAAUACCCAUAACUCUGCUGUAACUACACCUCAUUUUUUAUGAAACCUAUCCAUAAGGAAGUAUGAAUUACAGUAACUUUUCACAAUAGCCUGAUCCAUACAAAUGAAUAAAAGCAAUCUGUGGAAAAUUGUAACAGCAUUGCAAUCAAAGCAAGCAGAAAUGGGGCAAACUGGAAAAGAUGGAUUGAUGACUUACCGGCCAAAGAAGACAUACUGACUCACAAAUGCAUUAACUCUCAAAUCUGAGUGCUUUUCACUAUGUAAGCAAGAUAAAUAGUUCCCGUCAACAAACUGCAGACUCAGUUAAGUUGAUUGCCAGGGUUGAAUGCUCAUUCCUUUUAUCAGACAUCAUAUGGAUAAUCAGCUAUCGAACAAAUUUCAGCUAGCCAGCUAAACCUCCUAAAUUUUUAAGUGAGAAAAUAAGAUUCCAGAAGACUGAUGUAGCCAUUAUGCUUUGCGGCAAGAUACAUGCUCAGCCUAGCAGUUUUGAAGACAUGCCCGUUCUAGUAUAGUUUCAAACAGCUGAAUUCUGAAGUUCCAUAGGUAUACCAUGUAUGUUAUAAAAUGAUGAAUCAAAAAGUCCUGACGUAAAACAGAGUCAAACUUCAAGUAGAACAGACAUUAUAUUUUCUCAUCAGCGCUAUACUCUCAGCUAUGGUAGACCCAGCA